UUGACCUCGAAUCAGGUAGGAAUACCCGCUGAACUUAAGCAUAUCAAUAAGCGGAGGAAAAGAAACCAACCGGGAUUACCUCAGUAACGGCGAGUGAAGCGGUAACAGCUCAAAUUUGAAAUCUGGCUCUUGCGGAGUCCGAGUUGUAAUUUGUAGAAGAUGCUUUGGGUUGUGGGUUCGGCCUAAGUUCCUUGGAACAGGACGUCAUAGAGGGUGAGAAUCCCGUAUGUGGCCGAGGCCCGCGCCUAUGUAAAGCUCUUUCAACGAGUCGAGUUGUUUGGGAAUGCAGCUCAAAAUGGGUGGUAAAUUUCAUCUAAAGCUAAAUAUGGGCCAGAGACCGAUAGCGCACAAGUAGAGUGAUCGAAAGAUGAAAAGCACUUUGGAAAGAGAGUUAAACAGUACGUGAAAUUGUUGAAAGGGAAGCGCUUGCAACCAGACUUGGGCGCUGCCGAUCACCUUGAGUUUUCUCGAGUGCACUCGACAGCGCACAGGCCAGCAUCGGUUCGGGUGGCUGGAUAAAGGCCGUAGGAAUGUGGCUCUCUUCGGGGAGUGUUAUAGCCUACGGUGCCAUGCAGCCCAGCCGGACCGAGGACCGCGCCUUCGGGCUAGGAUGCUGGCGUAAUGGUUGUAAGCGACCCGUCUUGAAACACGGACCAAGGAGUCUAACAUCUAUGCGAGUGUUUGGGUGGUAAACCCAUACGCGGAAUGAAAGUGAACGUAGGUGAGAACCCCUUUGGGGCGCAUCAUCGACCGAUCCUGAUGUCU
Molecule: ribosomal RNA, 765 nt
Filed under: Erysiphe quercicola
Lineage: Eukaryota; Fungi; Ascomycota; Leotiomycetes; Helotiales; Erysiphaceae
Description: eukaryotic LSU rRNA
Rfam family: Eukaryotic large subunit ribosomal RNA
Source: RNAcentral